GCCUGCCAGAUUGUUAAUGUGUGUGUCUGCAUGUCUGGCCAAGGGCCUGAGUUCACUCUGAUGCAGGAGGGGAUUGCUUAGAGAACCUGAGAGGUUUAAAAUCAGAUUGAAGAGGAUAAAAACACCAGUGCUUUGGUACUAUGGGUCACAGGUCAGCAUACAGACGUGAUGGAGAACUUGCAUAUGCUUUGGUGGAAGAGUGGAGGAACAUCUCACAGCAAGAACUGACAAAUUUGGUGCAGUGCAUGAGGAUGAGAUGCACUGUAGUACUUAAAGCAGCUGGAGGCUACCACAUACUGACUGUUACUUUUAAAAUUGCCCCCCCCUUUGUUCAUGGACUCAUUAUUCCAUUUCUGUUUAUCAAAUGUCUGUUAAAAUUCUUCAGUUUAUGUCUUAGUUGUUGAAAGUUUUUAUGUUAAUACAAAUAUUUACACAUGUUAAGAAACUUGC
Ictalurus punctatus (channel catfish) is the source of this 450-nucleotide long non-coding RNA. NCBI's taxonomy places the organism in Eukaryota, Metazoa, Chordata, Actinopteri, Siluriformes, Ictaluridae. The record is from Ensembl.